This is a long non-coding RNA of Panicum virgatum (switchgrass), 438 nucleotides long. RefSeq lists it as uncharacterized. NCBI's taxonomy places the organism in Eukaryota, Viridiplantae, Streptophyta, Magnoliopsida, Poales, Poaceae. The transcript has 3 exons. The record is from RefSeq and is a predicted model, not a curated record.
GAUCUAAAGCGGCAAAGGGACAGGGAUAGGUAUGCAAGGCUGACAGAUGAGCAAAAGGCCCAAAGGAAUGCAAAAAGAAGGGAGAAUUAUGCCCGGAAGAAGGCCGGAAUCAGUCAACAAGUUCCAUUUGCGUCUGGUAAUGAUUCAAAAAAUAUGACAGAUUCAGAUGUUGCUAUUGCUGCGCCAGCAUCAGGAUUGACACAACUUUUUGCCAUCCAUGAAAACGGUGAGGGUGUACUUCCCUUGAUUUUGCCCGACCAGGAAGUGUCCACCAUGCUACAAACAGUUCUUGGCAAUGCUGACACAUCAUUAGAUUCAAGCAUCCUUUCGGGAUUCAUGAGAGCGAUAACAAUAUGAUUACCAAUCAUGGUAACAGUGCUAUUUUUGCGAGCAAUCAAUCUUUGGUGUACACACCUGAUAGUAUGGGACUUGAAUUGA